GGGGGAAGUUUGGAGAGCCCUAGCCGGAUGUACUUGCUAAUCAAAACAAGAGCUUAAGAAAUGAGGAUGUUGCUUGAAGUAAUAUCUGUGUAAACACUGAAGCUAAAAAUAGGUCAUCAAGAACUGGGUUGAUAAGUAUUUUAACCACAUGAAUGGGGAAAGGUCAAUUUUGAAU
Molecule: long non-coding RNA, 175 nt
Organism: Pteronotus mesoamericanus
Lineage: Eukaryota; Metazoa; Chordata; Mammalia; Chiroptera; Mormoopidae
Exons: 3
Source: RefSeq, a predicted model, not a curated record